GAUGAACGCUGGCGGCGUGCCUAAUACAUGCAAGUCGAGCGAACAGAUGAGGAGCUUGCUCCUCUGACGUUAGCGGCGGACGGGUGAGUAACACGUGGAUAACCUACCUAUAAGACUGGGAUAACUUCGGGAAACCGGAGCUAAUACCGGAUAAUAUAUUGAACCGCAUGGUUCAAUAGUGAAAGACGGUUUUGCUUUCACUUAUAGAUGGAUCCGCGCCGCAUUAGCUAGUUGGUAAGGUAACGGCUUACCAAGGCAACGAUGCGUAGCCGACCUGAGAGGGUGAUCGGCCACACUGGAACUGAGACACGGUCCAGACUCCUACGGGAGGCAGCAGUAGGGAAUCUUCCGCAAUGGGCGAAAGCCUGACGGAGCACCGCCGCGUGAGUGAUGAAGGUCUUCGGAUCGUAAAACUCUGUUAUUAGGGAAGAACAAAUGUGUAAGUAAAUAUGCACGUCUUGACGGUACCUAAUCAGAAAGCCACGGCUAACUACGUG
This 497-nucleotide ribosomal RNA is filed under the name uncultured bacterium. Its description in RNAcentral is "partial 16S ribosomal RNA". It matches the Rfam family "Bacterial small subunit ribosomal RNA", at positions 28 to 507 of the family's 1533-position model. The record is from RNAcentral.